RNAcentral lists this long non-coding RNA (3636 nucleotides) under Homo sapiens (human). RNAcentral describes it as "HSALNT0056591". The record is from RNAcentral. Lineage: Eukaryota; Metazoa; Chordata; Mammalia; Primates; Hominidae.
CAUCAUGCUAUGAUUUAGGCAUCUUCUCAUUCCUGAUAACAUCUAUGGUAACUGCAUCAAUAACAUAUUAGUUAGCUUGCUCUAAUCAUAGAGGUUUUUACUCAGGUACAGUGACUACAGCCGCCAAGCUUGGAUGCACUGUGCUACAUGCUUAAAAGUUUAGAGACGAGACAUUAGUGCAUGGUAGAAAGGUCAGGAAAUGCUUCACACAGUAUGUGGCAAUUGAUUUAUUUCUCAAAAAAGUGUUUGGUGUUGGAAAGUAUUUACAGGUCUGGAAAUCAUGUGACAAAGACCAGAUUGUCAGAGGGUGUGACAAAAUUGGGGAUAGAGAUGAGUCUAGAUUGAAUAAAAUAAAUUGGGUCAGAAUUUUAUUGAUUUGCAAGGCAGUAACAAAUUAUAGAUUUUACGCUUUAGAAGGUGGGAAGAUAUUGACUCUUUGGGAGAUUUAUAUUAAUUAUCUAUAAACAUUUCUUGCACAAACCCUGCAGUCAAUGUUAAAGAGUAGUCUAGAAUCAAUUAUUGCAAUACAACCUUUAAGUUACAAUAAUGUAAUAUAAAUGUGCAUACCUAAACCAGAAGCAGCACAGCGAGGCCUGCAGAUAAAGUGAUAUAUGAGUUUUGUCUUGAAGGAUGGAACUAGUGUUUUGGAAAGAUUCAUCUAACAGUAAUGUGCAGAAUGAAUGAAACAGAAGAAAGACAUAAUAUUGGGUAGAAAAGAUAAGAGACACUAUCAUAAAAGGGAUAACGUGUGGUAGAGGCAUGAUCAGUUGCCAAUUUAUUUUAAGCAUGAUAGAUUACUGAUCAGACACAGAAUUUGCCCCAAAGAACUAUGGUUUUAGAUUAACAUUAUACAUACGUAAGCUUACUCUUGGAUAGUUAAUUUAGUUUUGCUAACCAUGAGGCUAAUAAGACCAGGGUUAUGGGGUUACUCACUGUUUCAUGACAUUGGAGUAAAGGCUAGUCAGAAAUCUUAUAAACCUUUCGCAAAAUGACAAAUACAGAUAACGUAAAUAUCUCUGUGAAUUUCACACCUAUGAUAAUCAACAUUGAAGUAAAAUCCUCAAAAAUAUGUAUUCAACUAAAAGUAGGCCAAGAGUAUCAUCACGGAUUAUAACGAACAUAAAUAAUGGCGUAAAGAAUCUACCAAGUACUUUGUCAGAAUAAAAUAUCAUGCGAGCUUUCUAGGUAGUGGUAAAUAUUGGUCUAUAUUUACAAACGGUUUUAUUUGUCCAUAUAGUAUGGCACCCAUUAUCAUCCAUGUAAACUAGAAUACUCCACUGCUUCUGCCUAAUAAUGGCAAUGAUAACAAUAAAACCAAUAAUAAAAUAAAUACUUAUGCCUCAAAUAAUUUUAGAAUUAGGGUAGAAACAAAUAGCUACGAUUUAUUUAGCACAUAACAUAGUGGCAUGAUAUAGUUUAAUUUUCACAUACUACAAACUAAAAAUUUUUAUAAUUCUAUAUUAUAGGUGAGUCAAUUGAGACUCCUACAGCUAAUAUGUUUCUGAGCUAGGACUCAAAAGUGGGUAAGAUUACAAAGCCCUGUGAAGUAGCUAGUAUUUGUAUUUCCUCCUUUAUAAGUAUUAGUUAUGAAUCACGCAGACAUUUUAUUUUUAAUGCUUUCCUGAUCUAGCUGCCUAAAAUAAGAGUUUUAAUAAUUGCAAAAUGUAGAAAUGUAGGUAGUGAAAACAUAAAAAGAUCUGUGUACGUAAUUAAAUCUCAAGCCACACUAGUUCCCAUGGUUCCUUUGUGUUACCCCUGAAAUUUACAUUUUAAAUUAUAAACCUAAAUGCCUAAAGUAAACAGAAGACUAUCUAUCCUCAAAUCCAAUCCAAUGAAGGACCUAAGAUGCAUCUCAAGAUCCCAUCUAAUGGACUUCUCUAUCACAGACUCUCAGCCUCCCUUUUCUUUUCUCCAGACUUUAAUACUGGGUCCAGCUUUUGAGAUCUCAGCGGGGAAAAAGGGAGGAGUGAGACUCCAUGCAUCAACAUUUUGUCCUAGAUUUUCACUGUGCUCUCAUCAAAAGUGGCUUCAAUCAUUCUCCCAACUGCACUGACCCUCUCUGUCUGUAUGCUCUUAAAGAAUCAUGCCAAGGAAGGCAGAGUCCUGGGAAAAGAUGGUAUUUUUCUUUUGCGUAAGCUGUUUGGACUCCAAGCUCCAAUUAAUGUUUAAAAACUCUAGAAUUUUAAGAAAGUAAAGCUAAUUUUAAGUAAUUUGAAGAAAGUGAUGUCCAAAGAAUUUUAAAAAUCUGGAAUGUCCUGUUGGAAUUUCUCUUCCCUUAGCCUCUUGUUAUUUCCAGAGUUCGUUUCCCUUCUGAAAAUUUUAUCAAUGAUUUCAAAUAUUUACUAUUCAUUCAUUUAAACAAGUGGUAAGCUUCUAAUAUAUGUUAGGUCCAGUAUUAGGCAUAAGGAAUGGAAAAAAAAAGUAAAAUAGUGGAAUUCACUUCCGCAGGAAUCCAGGGGAUAUUUGCUGUCUUUGUGAUGUAGCACCUGAUAGUCUAGUAAACGAGUGGAGAAAGUCAGAUGAAAUUACAUGACAUGUUUUCAUCAACAUUUUUCCCCCACAUAACAUAGUUUCUGAUGAUGGGCAAGACAAUAAGAAACAUUGUAUUGCAGUGAUGGUGAUGGAGGACUGGUGGUCAAAAUCUCCAUUAUCACCAUAAAAUAAAAUUUUUCUGUAUCUUCAGUAGCAGUUUUUAGAGGUCUUGAUUUUCCCUAUGACAUAUCUAAACGUAAAUAAUAAUACAUCAAGGAAGUCCCUAAGUCAAUAGUACUCUGUUGAAAGGAGCCCUUUGAUUUAGUUUUCCAGACAGAGCUUUCAGAGAUCAUAAUCAUCCUGAAUAUUCCAGCAAUGCUCAGAAAAUAAAACUAAUUUUAACUUUGCUCUAAAGAUAUUGCUUUAAAUGGGCUUUUGACUGGCUGCCGAAAACUGUUUAUUGAUUCAAUUUUCUGACUAACUGAUAACAAAGAUUCUAGUAUCAUCUGCCUGAUUAGAAUGCUUAUUUGUACUGGCAGAACCAGCAGAAAUUUUCUUCAUCCUGGAAGAAACCUUGAACCCAAUAAAUAUAAAAUUAUAUAUGUUGUUUUUUAUUUUCAUGGUUUUUAUUCAGGUGAAAUCUGGCGGUCAUUAAAAAAAUGUAAAAAUUUGAAAAGUGCAUGCUUGAGAGGAGAAAAAAAUUGUAAAAUGGCUAAUUGCUGGGUUAAGUGGUGAAAGAGCUAUUAAUCGCUUUUUGUAGCUUGACCAUUUAGAGGGUUGGCAGGAUAGAAGACUCUAGAAUAUCCUGAUUUAGGUAUUAGCUACUAGCAGUAAUAUUAGUCUAUUAGUCUUAGAUACCAAUUCAUUAUUCAUUAGCUGCCUCCCUGAGGUCACUCCCAACAUCAGCAGACAGGGUAUUUCCAAAAUGAGAGAUUUCUGGGAAAAUCGUCGUGGUUCAGAGAGAAAAUAUGCUGUGAAAUCUUGAUAGCAAUGUACUGGUUGGCAGGUCAACAGUGACAGCAGCAGCAGCAAGAAUGAAUCAAGUUUCUCCUCCUCUUCUCAGGGUGAUGCUCCUUCUCCUCCUGAUUUGAUGUAUGGAGGAAAAUACAACAUUACUUCUGUGGUGUUUCUUCUGAGAUGCAUAAUCUGAAUCUAAUCAUGGUG